GACAGAGGGUGCAAACGUUGUUCGGAAUUACUGGGCGUAAAGCGUGUGUAGGCGGCCAAAUAAGUCGGAUGUGAAAGCCCCGGGCUCAACCCGGGAAGUGCACUCGAUACUGUUUGGCUAGAGUAUCGGAGAGGUUGGUGGAAUUCUUGGUGUAGAGGUGAAAUUCGUAGAUAUCAAGAGGAACACCGGUGGCGAAGGCGGCCAACUGGACGAAUACUGACGCUGAGACACGAAAGCGUGGGGAGCAAACAGG
RNAcentral lists this ribosomal RNA (253 nucleotides) under uncultured bacterium. RNAcentral describes it as "partial 16S ribosomal RNA". It matches the Rfam family "Bacterial small subunit ribosomal RNA", at positions 524 to 776 of the family's 1533-position model. The record is from RNAcentral.